AACAGGAUUAGAUACCCUGGUAGUCCACGCCGUAAACGAUGUCGACUAGCCGUUGGGUCCCUUGAGGACUUAGUGGCGCAGUUAACGCGAUAAGUCGACCGCCUGGGGAGUACGGCCGCAAGGUUAAAACUCAAAUGAAUUGACGGGGGCCCGCACAAGCGGUGGAGCAUGUGGUUUAAUUCGAUGCAACGCGAAGAACCUUACCUACCCUUGACAUCCUGCGAACCCGGAAGAGAUUCCGGGGUGCCUUCGGGAGCGCAGAGACAGGUGCUGCAUGGCUGUCGUCAGCUCGUGUUGUGAAAUGUUGGGUUAAGUCCCGUAACGAGCGCACCCCUUGUCCCUAUUUGCCAGCGAUUCGGUCGGGAACUCUAGGGAGACUGCCGGUGACAAACCGGAGGAAGGUGGGGACGACGUCAAGUCAUCAUGGCCCUUACGGGUAGGGCUACACACGUGCUACAAUGGCCGGUACAAAGGGUUGCGAAGCCGCGAGGUGAAGCCAAUCCCAGAAAGCCGGCCUCAAUCCGGAUUGGAGUCUGCAACUCGACUCCAUGAAGUCGGAAUCGCUAGUAAUCGUGCAUCAGAAUGGCACGGUGAAUACGUUCCCGGGCCUUGUACACACCGCCCGUCACACCAUGGGAGUGGACUGCACCAGAAGUGGUUAGCCUAACUUCGGAGGGCGAUCACCACGGUGUGGUUCAUGACUGGGGGUGAAGUCGUAACAAGGUAACC
RNAcentral lists this ribosomal RNA (729 nucleotides) under uncultured bacterium. Its description in RNAcentral is "bacterial SSU rRNA". It matches the Rfam family "Bacterial small subunit ribosomal RNA", at positions 771 to 1501 of the family's 1533-position model. The record is from RNAcentral.